GACAACACAAGGCCCAGCGAAUGACACGUGCACAUUCUGCCUGGCUACCUCAGGGAUCUCACCUGUCAACUCUGCACGCUCGCUGACCACCACCGACGUCCUCGACCCAAGUAAAGUCACCAUAUUCCCGCCCUGAACACUGCCCACCACAGCCACCCCACUCCCACCUGUUGGUGGACCCCACACCCCGACUACAGCGUUAGUUGCAGACCUGGCGGCACUCCCUGCCCCACCGGAGCGCGCCGGCAUCAGCACCCGACCUUUCCUGCCAGCUGCCAACCGACAGGGUGCAGCCUGACCUGGGAGACGAAGAUGUGCAGCCUCCCGUCCCUGACCCGCUCCAGCAAUGCCGCCUGGCGUAGACCACCUGCCAGAGGCCUCCGCGGCCGAC
Non-coding RNA from Pelobates cultripes (western spadefoot toad), 391 nucleotides. Lineage: Eukaryota; Metazoa; Chordata; Amphibia; Anura; Pelobatidae. The record is from the annotation of a GenBank genome assembly.